ACCUGCGGAGGAUCAUUAUCGUACAAAAUGUGAGAGGGGCAUGCGAGGGCUGUCGCUGACUCAAAGUCGUGCACGCCCGAGUGUGUCGCCUCACAUAAUAAUCCAUCUCACCCUUUGUGCAUCACCGCGUGGGCACCCCUUUGGGAUCAUCUCGGAGGGGGCUCGCGUUUUCACACAAAACCCCCCUUUUAAAAGUGUAGAAUGACCUCAUUUAUGCGCUAACCCGCAAUCAAUACAACUUUCAACAACGGAUCUCUUGGCUCUCGCAUCGAUGAAGAACGCAGCGAAAUGCGAUACGUAAUGUGAAUUGCAGAAUUCAGUGAAUCAUCGAAUCUUUGAACGCACCUUGCGCCCCCUGGUAUUCCGAGGGGCACACCCGUUUGAGUGUCGUGAAAACCUCAACCUCCUUGGUUUCUUCUGGAGACCAAAGCAGGCUUGGACUUUGGAGGCCUUUGCUGGCACCUCUCGCCAGCUCCUCUUAAAUGAAUUAGCAGGGUCCUCUUUGCUGAUCCUCGACGUGUGAUAAGAUGUUUCCAUGUCUUGGUUUCUGGCUCUGUCACCUUUGGGACCCGCUUCUAACCGUCUUCAACCUUGCGUUGAGACAACGUUCGAGCAUGUCUCCCUUCUCGGGAAGCUCCCUCGACCCCACGAACCCUUGACCUCAAAUC
Molecule: ribosomal RNA, 668 nt
Filed under: Lactarius rufus
Lineage: Eukaryota; Fungi; Basidiomycota; Agaricomycetes; Russulales; Russulaceae
Description: eukaryotic LSU rRNA
Rfam family: 5.8S ribosomal RNA (bases 237-390)
Source: RNAcentral